GGCCAGAUCCACGAUCAGGUGCAUGGCAGGGGCUUGUCCGCAGGACCGGAACCUUGGCAAUGGGAAGGCAGCCCUUUCCCCUCCAUCACUCCGGGGAGCUCACGUGCGGACGGGGUCCUCUGUAGCAUCUUUAAAUUGGAGGUACCUCACUCCGGAUUCUAUUAAAAUCGUAAUCUCUAGAAGAUGGAUUCAGCAAAUGCCAGGCGUGGAGCCAUGAAUGUUUCCAUAAGAAACAAGAAAAAUAGAAAGAAUGUGUGUUAGCCAGACGACACCUUGAUGGCACCCCUGCCACCUCCCCAGCCCUCCUCAGUGGCAAAGUGAUUUAGCUCAGUUGGGCUUCUCCAAAAUGGAAAUAGUCACUUGUUUGAGCAAAUAAAUGUAAUGAAAGUUGUUCCGGAAAAAU
RNAcentral lists this long non-coding RNA (403 nucleotides) under Homo sapiens (human). Its description in RNAcentral is "long non-coding RNA NONHSAT208564.1". The record is from RNAcentral. Lineage: Eukaryota; Metazoa; Chordata; Mammalia; Primates; Hominidae.